UGCUGUAAAAACUACAGCGUUAUUUUACAGAAGCUGACUGUAUUUUAAAUAAUACAGAAUAUUGCUGUAAAGUGCAAUGCAUUCUGGGGUCACGUGACGGAUUAACUCAAUGUACAGAAUAUUGCUGUAAAUUUCAAAUCUACAAUGGCGGGAUGAUCUUCAACAGUCGAGAUUGGGGUAGUGCGCAAAAUGAAUGAUUCACACCUGUGGUAAGUAACUUAUUACGUAUUUUUUUUUCCAUAUUUGGUAACUAUCAUACUGGUAACUUUAUAUAGAGGUAUCUAAAUUCGCGGUUCAUAUUGCUAACCCCGGAUUCAACCUCCAUCCGCGGGGACCGAAGGAGUCUUGCGGGGUUUCAGCAGCGCCGUCGCGGUAAGAUUUCAAACAUUCUCCGUCGCUAUAGCACCUGAGGACAGAAGUUGUUCAUGUUAUUUAGAGUUUUUGUUCACACCAGGAGUGAAGGCGGUAUGUGACGAGCUACAGUUCAUUGUAUUAGUAAGUUGACGGUUGUUUUUUUAAUGUUGAACAUCGCGCCCGCCGUAGACUCGGUAAAAGUUACAUGCUUCGACAGUUGGGAUACCACACUCGCUCGUGAUUAUUUUGUGUUGUAAUUCAAAUUUGCAAAUGCAGUCAUCCGUUAAAUCGAGCGCCCAAAUUAAAAUGAGUCACCAUAGCUUGAGGUAAGUCGAUGUUCACGGAGGAUAGCCCGGUAAAGUGAUUAAUGUACGUAACCAUCUAGAUAUACAGUUUAUGUAUCGGAGGCCAGCUGAGAGCUUGAGCAAAAGACGUUAGCGACACCCUCAUUGUAUAGCAGGCCUGUCUCCCAAAUAGGACCGUUGGAGGGUGGGAGUGAGACCCGUUACAAAAUACUAGUGUGACAAUUUCUUGACCGUGACAUCCCUAACGUUAGUUGGAUUACAUUUCUGUAUAAGUACGGUUUUAAGUGUAAGUUACUCUGUUUAAUUUGCUUAGAGUUUGUUUGUAGAGUCACUUAUACUAAAAUGUAGUUUAAAUGUAAAAUGCUUAAAGAUAAUUGUAUAGUCACUAUUAACUAUUACUAUUGUCACAUGUGGUAUUGUUUGUUUUAGAACACACUUGCAGGCCACUGGAUGCUGACUACUGAAGGUUAGGUUGUGUGUGACGGUGCUCAGCACAGCUUCAUGUCUGGCCUUCCCACUCUGUUCAUAGCAUGUUACAUAUUCAGGCUUGAGUACCAGGAUGGGGCAGCAUGUACUUGGAGUCCAAUGAAAGAUAUUAAUCCAGAGAGUGGAACAAGCAGCGUCAUCUAAAAUGCCAGGAUACAGAAGAAACAGGUUGCAGUGAACCCACAUGUCGCCGCUCUUCUAAACACAAUGAUGAAUAUUCAGUGUAAUCGAUGAAAAUUCCAGCUACUUGUUGUGCUCUGAUGGAUCAAGAUGUGGACCGUUUUACAGACUCACUUGGGCCUUGUUUUGCAAUGUUGUUUCAUGAUGGUAAUGUUGGUUAACGUGUUGUUUAAACAUGAGUGUUUAAAGAGCCAUGUUGGAUACUAUGAAGUUCUUACUGAAUAAAAUUAUUUCAUGUACAACAACGUACACAAUUUGUCUGUAAUGUAUUUUUGUAUCAAUUAAAAAAAAAUAAACACUGUAUAUCCAGUAUGCAAAACAUACUGGAUAUACAGUGAUUUAUGUAUUUCUUCUAAAUAAAGUAAAUUAAAAUCAAGCAAUUUGCUGUAAAAAAUACAGCAUUAUACUGUUGCUAUUCAAAAUUACAGUUUUUCCUGUAUUCUGCAAUUACAGUAAAUGGCUGUAAAUUAAAUUACAGUACUGUGGCUGUACAAUUUACAGUAACUGGCUGGCAACCCUGCUGCCAGUAGUUUACUGUAAAUUUUACAGGAUUUUUUUUACAGUGUAGUUAAUGCUAAUCCGAGGGUUUUUCUUUUACAGCAUCAAUGGAAGUCACAGUGAAUUUAUCAUCAAUCUCUUUUUUGACUGCCAUAAUCAGACUCAGUUUUUUUAUUUUGUUGAAAGUAUUGAAAACCCUAUUGUUUAGUUUUUCUGUUGCUAAAAAUAUAUUUGUGGUAGUCUCCCAUUCAGAGCUAUAGAAGUUUACCCGUUGCUGAGAAACCCGAAAAUGUGAAGGUGAAUGUUCAUUAGACGAUAAACAAAAAUAAUAUUUAGCUACUGUGUUGUUUUUAAGUGCGGUCAACAUCGAUAUGCAUUAUGCAAAUGCUAGUAUGCAGAUUUUAUUGUACAGUAAGCAGUGUCAAUGACCAUCAUCAGGCAGGCUGCAAUCUUGCUUUUUACAUUAAAGUCCCCGUGAAUGUAGAAGUUGGGAUCGCUUUUCUUCCGUAUUCUGACACAUUUCUGACUGAAAAGGAAUUUAAGUGAGAAAAUCAGUGAGCGUGGCUUGCGUUGUUCACUGCAAAUUGAUUGGAUGUGUAAAAACAGCUGUUGCCUCGAUUUUGAAAUGAAACUAGCAGCAGACUGACAGUUGAAGGGGAGGAGUUAAUGGAUGCUCCGGC
This is a long non-coding RNA of Triplophysa dalaica, 2503 nucleotides long. RefSeq lists it as uncharacterized. NCBI's taxonomy places the organism in Eukaryota, Metazoa, Chordata, Actinopteri, Cypriniformes, Nemacheilidae. The transcript is spliced from 3 exons. The record is from RefSeq and is a predicted model, not a curated record.